GACUCUCGGCAACGGAUAUCUCGGCUCUCGCAUCGAUGAAGAACGUAGCGAAAUGCGAUACUUGGUGUGAAUUGCAGAAUCCCGUGAACCAUCGAGUCUUUGAACGCAAGUUGCGCCCGAAGCCUUUAGGCCAAGGGCACGUUUGCAUGGGCGUCACGCAUC
This 162-nucleotide ribosomal RNA is filed under the name Adenophora wilsonii. RNAcentral's name for it is "5.8S ribosomal RNA". It matches the Rfam family "5.8S ribosomal RNA". From Rfam's summary of the family: 5.8S ribosomal RNA (5.8S rRNA) is a component of the large subunit of the eukaryotic ribosome. It is transcribed by RNA polymerase I as part of the 45S precursor that also contains 18S and 28S rRNA. Lineage: Eukaryota; Viridiplantae; Streptophyta; Magnoliopsida; Asterales; Campanulaceae. The record is from RNAcentral.